RNAcentral lists this ribosomal RNA (301 nucleotides) under uncultured bacterium. RNAcentral describes it as "partial 16S ribosomal RNA". It matches the Rfam family "Bacterial small subunit ribosomal RNA", at positions 509 to 807 of the family's 1533-position model. The record is from RNAcentral.
CAGCAGCCGCGGUAAUGCGAAGGGUGCAAGCGUUAAUCGGAAUUACUGGGCGUAAAGCGUGCGUAGGCGGUAAGUUAAGUCUGCUGUGAAAUCCCCGGGCUCAACCUGGGAAUGGCAGUGGAUACUGGCUCGCUAGAGUGUGUCAGAGGAUGGUGGAAUUCCCGGUGUAGCGGUGAAAUGCGUAGAGAUCGGGAGGAACAUCAGUGGCGAAGGCGGCCAUCUGGGACAACACUGACGCUGAGGCACGAAAGCGUGGGGAGCAAACAGGAUUAGAUACCCCAGUAGUCCCUGUCUCUUAUAC